GUCAGUGCAUCUCCCACCUGAUCGACGCCGACGCCACGGUCCUCGAGCAGAACAGGGUGAGCUUGAUACCCUUCCAUUCUUCAUGUGAAUUAUUCAGGCUGUAGACGUUGAGCUGUUCAAGGUGUGGAUUGUUGUGUGGUUCCAGUACAAUUAUAACUGUACAGAUAUUUUUGUGCGCAUAAAAUCUGCAUUGUACAAUGUCCCUGAUAUUAUGCAUUUUAUUGAUACUCUACUAGAGUUGCUAUCUCUUGUUGUUCAUGGGUUUUGAUUCUGCUUCUACAGAUUUUGAAUUUUUCAUGUAAUAACAAGUAUACCGCUUAGUACUCCACAAAUAAACUAUUAGUGUGGGAGAUCUCUCAGUGAAGCUGUAUCAUAUUCUUUGUUAAUAUUUUGCAUGCCAUUCGAAGUUCACUUGGCAAGCAAGUAUUGUUUAGUACUGUAUUUGUUGGCACUUUGAGAUGAACCUGCAGCAUAAGCAUCAAGUUAGAUGAAAAAUCCUCCGGUGCCGAUUUUGAUUUAAACAUUGAGUUAAUAUAGUCCACAACAUAACAUAUUUUGAUUUGAACUUAUCCUAUGCUUAUGCCCAGUUUGUGUUAAUUAUCUUGAAGUUAGUCUGUCUCUUCUUUACUGACAUUCUUGUUUGUUAAGGAAUGGUGUGGUACAGUGUCUAUGCUGGCUGAAUUUUCUUUACAUAAUUUUCAGCUGGUCGCUUGUACAGAAACUUUGAUCCAGAAAAACCAAAACCAAGUACGUGUUCACACACACACAGCUUCCUCUCACAAAAAAAAACUAAGUGCCUGUCUCUCUCACUUUUGUUCACAUUUCUUUUAGAGUGCAGAAAUGUUUGAUCCAGAUAAACUAAAUACCUGUACAGGCGCACAACUUCCUCUCACAACAAAAAAAACCAAGUACUUGUCUGUAUCAUGUUUGUUUGCUUUCUUCUUUGAGAAAUCUCAUGUUUGUUUGCUAGGCCAUAAAAUAGAGAGCUUUUAGCCUGGUUAGCCCCAUGCACCUACUGUUUGUUUGGUCCAGAACCAAUGGCUGAACCAACUGCCGCUGCUACUACACUUUUAGUUCUGUGAUGUGUGUUUGUUACUCAUCACUUGUAGGCUAACUUGAUUAUACUUUCAUUCGACACACUUUUCUUUGGACUAUUUUUGCUUGUUUUCACGUGUGUUGCCCACAUUUACGUGGUACCUUAGUAUAGUAGUGGUGUGUCCACAGAUGAUUGCUUGGAAAAUCAACUAAUAUUAUUACUCUUUGGAUUCAUUUGGGAGCUUACUUUUAUAACUUAUUAUAAUUUUGAUUGUCUUCUGAUUCUACACAGGUUUGGCAGUUAAUCCGCUUUACUGGAGAUUGAAGAUUUUUAGCAGGAUUUCUUAGGUCCGGUUAGCUGCCUACAAUCGUUGGUGUUGGAAAAAAAAUCAGCUAGUAGUGCAUUUUCUUUCAAGUCAUGUAACUCACUCUUAAAAAAAUACUUAUAGGGCUUUCUAGAUAUGCUCGGGAUGUUUUGAUAUUAAGCUUUGCUUUUUCAAAUCAGAUUAGAUUGUUGGAAAUCGGUAUUGUCAUGUAAACAAUUGCUAUUUUUUAAGGAAUAUAUGAUUUGGUUGUCGUGUUGUAAA
RNAcentral lists this long non-coding RNA (1622 nucleotides) under Triticum aestivum (bread wheat). RNAcentral describes it as "long non-coding RNA (TAES_LNC015403)". The record is from RNAcentral. Lineage: Eukaryota; Viridiplantae; Streptophyta; Magnoliopsida; Poales; Poaceae.